UCACGACCUUCACACACAUAGGAAGCAAACUCAUUAAGUCAGCGGAAGAGGAAGGUACACAAGCUGCAGAAACAUACCUUAAUAUUUGCCAAGAACUUAUAAACACAUUUUCAAUUUCAAAUAAUUUCCUAGAUUUUCAAACAGUUGCAAUGGUGGUGUUAGGGCUAAACAAGCGCGUUUUUGCGUUCGUGGUUUUGAUCUUCAUCAUCUCAAUCGUCGUUGUUGAUGGAGUUAUAGGGGUCGACGAAAAAAGUGCAGAUCUUAUUCAAGACGAAGCCGCCAAGACCAUUCAUCCAGAUUCAUUCAAAACAAAACGAGAGAAAAAUCUCAUAACUGGACAAGAUUUGGAGUUCCUGGUCAUGGAUUACACCCCAGCUAGAAGGAGGACCCCCAUUCAUAACUAAUAGUGUAAUAUAUAAUUAAUAUGGCUUUCAUUUGUAUUAAUACACUAGUAAUUUGUAUUAAUCAUCUAUCAUAUUAUUCACCUGGCCAAUAUAGCCACAAUGACAAUAGGCAUGCAUGAGUUUAUGGCGAGGAUUCCAAAUUUCAAAUUCCUGUAUAUCUUUUCUGUAUUGUCAUUGUUCAUAUUUAUUUGGGGCAACUAUAUCUCACCCUGCAUGGAUCUAUUUGAAUUUUUCUAAUGGAAAUUUAAACCUUUUAAAA
Long non-coding RNA from Malus domestica (apple), 663 nucleotides. RefSeq lists it as uncharacterized. The record is from RefSeq and is a predicted model, not a curated record. Lineage: Eukaryota; Viridiplantae; Streptophyta; Magnoliopsida; Rosales; Rosaceae.